RNAcentral lists this ribosomal RNA (2906 nucleotides) under Escherichia coli. RNAcentral describes it as "23S ribosomal RNA". It matches the Rfam family "Bacterial large subunit ribosomal RNA". The record is from RNAcentral. Lineage: Bacteria; Pseudomonadati; Pseudomonadota; Gammaproteobacteria; Enterobacterales; Enterobacteriaceae.
GGUUAAGCGACUAAGCGUACACGGUGGAUGCCCUGGCAGUCAGAGGCGAUGAAGGACGUGCUAAUCUGCGAUAAGCGUCGGUAAGGUGAUAUGAACCGUUAUAACCGGCGAUUUCCGAAUGGGGAAACCCAGUGUGAUUCGUCACACUAUCAUUAACUGAAUCCAUAGGUUAAUGAGGCGAACCGGGGGGAACUGAAACAUCUAAGUACCCCGAGGAAAAGAAAUCAACCGAGAUUCCCCCAGUAGCGGCGAGCGAACGGGGAGGAGCCCAGAGCCUGAAUCAGUGUGUGUGUUAGUGGAAGCGUCUGGAAAGGCGCGCGAUACAGGGUGACAGCCCCGUACACAAAAAUGCACAUACUGUGAGCUCGAUGAGUAGGGCGGGACACGUGGUAUCCUGUCUGAAUAUGGGGGGACCAUCCUCCAAGGCUAAAUACUCCUGACUGACCGAUAGUGAACCAGUACCGUGAGGGAAAGGCGAAAAGAACCCCGGCGAGGGGAGUGAAAAAGAACCUGAAACCGUGUACGUACAAGCAGUGGGAGCACGCUUCGGCGUGUGACUGCGUACCUUUUGUAUAAUGGGUCAGCGACUUAUAUUCUGUAGCAAGGUUAACCGAAUAGGGGAGCCGAAGGGAAACCGAGUCUUAACUGGGCGUUAAGUUGCAGGGUAUAGACCCGAAACCCGGUGAUCUAGCCAUGGGCAGGUUGAAGGUUGGGUAACACUAACUGGAGGACCGAACCGACUAAUGUUGAAAAAUUAGCGGAUGACUUGUGGCUGGGGGUGAAAGGCCAAUCAAACCGGGAGAUAGCUGGUUCUCCCCGAAAGCUAUUUAGGUAGCGCCUCGUGAAUUCAUCUCCGGGGGUAGAGCACUGUUUCGGCAAGGGGGUCAUCCCGACUUACCAACCCGAUGCAAACUGCGAAUACCGGAGAAUGUUAUCACGGGAGACACACGGCGGGUGCUAACGUCCGUCGUGAAGAGGGAAACAACCCAGACCGCCAGCUAAGGUCCCAAAGUCAUGGUUAAGUGGGAAACGAUGUGGGAAGGCCCAGACAGCCAGGAUGUUGGCUUAGAAGCAGCCAUCAUUUAAAGAAAGCGUAAUAGCUCACUGGUCGAGUCGGCCUGCGCGGAAGAUGUAACGGGGCUAAACCAUGCACCGAAGCUGCGGCAGCGACACUAUGUGUUGUUGGGUAGGGGAGCGUUCUGUAAGCCUGUGAAGGUGUGCUGUGAGGCAUGCUGGAGGUAUCAGAAGUGCGAAUGCUGACAUAAGUAACGAUAAAGCGGGUGAAAAGCCCGCUCGCCGGAAGACCAAGGGUUCCUGUCCAACGUUAAUCGGGGCAGGGUGAGUCGACCCCUAAGGCGAGGCCGAAAGGCGUAGUCGAUGGGAAACAGGUUAAUAUUCCUGUACUUGGUGUUACUGCGAAGGGGGGACGGAGAAGGCUAUGUUGGCCGGGCGACGGUUGUCCCGGUUUAAGCGUGUAGGCUGGUUUUCCAGGCAAAUCCGGAAAACUAAGGCUGAGGCGUGAUGACGAGGCACUACGGUGCUGAAGCAACAAAUGCCCUGCUUCCAGGAAAAGCCUCUAAGCAUCAGGUAACAUCAAAUCGUACCCCAAACCGACACAGGUGGUCAGGUAGAGAAUACCAAGGCGCUUGAGAGAACUCGGGUGAAGGAACUAGGCAAAAUGGUGCCGUAACUUCGGGAGAAGGCACGCUGAUAUGUAGGUGAAGCGACUUGCUCGUGGAGCUGAAAUCAGUCGAAGAUACCAGCUGGCUGCAACUGUUUAUUAAAAACACAGCACUGUGCAAACACGAAAGUGGACGUAUACGGUGUGACGCCUGCCCGGUGCCGGAAGGUUAAUUGAUGGGGUUAGCGGUAACGCGAAGCUCUUGAUCGAAGCCCCGGUAAACGGCGGCCGUAACUAUAACGGUCCUAAGGUAGCGAAAUUCCUUGUCGGGUAAGUUCCGACCUGCACGAAUGGCGUAAUGAUGGCCAGGCUGUCUCCACCCGAGACUCAGUGAAAUUGAACUCGCUGUGAAGAUGCAGUGUACCCGCGGCAAGACGGAAAGACCCCGUGAACCUUUACUAUAGCUUGACACUGAACAUUGAGCCUUGAUGUGUAGGAUAGGUGGGAGGCUUUGAAGUGUGGACGCCAGUCUGCAUGGAGCCGACCUUGAAAUACCACCCUUUAAUGUUUGAUGUUCUAACGUUGACCCGUGAUCCGGGUUGCGGACAGUGUCUGGUGGGUAGUUUGACUGGGGCGGUCUCCUCCUAAAGAGUAACGGAGGAGCACGAAGGUUGGCUAAUCCUGGUCGGACAUCAGGAGGUUAGUGCAAUGGCAUAAGCCAGCUUGACUGCGAGCGUGACGGCGCGAGCAGGUGCGAAAGCAGGUCAUAGUGAUCCGGUGGUUCUGAAUGGAAGGGCCAUCGCUCAACGGAUAAAAGGUACUCCGGGGAUAACAGGCUGAUACCGCCCAAGAGUUCAUAUCGACGGCGGUGUUUGGCACCUCGAUGUCGGCUCAUCACAUCCUGGGGCUGAAGUAGGUCCCAAGGGUAUGGCUGUUCGCCAUUUAAAGUGGUACGCGAGCUGGGUUUAGAACGUCGUGAGACAGUUCGGUCCCUAUCUGCCGUGGGCGCUGGAGAACUGAGGGGGGCUGCUCCUAGUACGAGAGGACCGGAGUGGACGCAUCACUGGUGUUCGGGUUGUCAUGCCAAUGGCACUGCCCGGUAGCUAAAUGCGGAAGAGAUAAGUGCUGAAAGCAUCUAAGCACGAAACUUGCCCCGAGAUGAGUUCUCCCUGACUCCCUGAGAGUCCUGAAGGAACGUUGAAGACGACGACGUUGAUAGGCCGGGUGUGUAAGCGCAGCGAUGCGUUGAGCUAACCGGUACUAAUGAACCGUGAGGCUUAACCUU